GAUGAACGCUGGCGGCGUGCCUAACACAUGCAAGUCGAGCGAACGGACGAGAAGCUUGCUCCUCUGAUGUUAGCGGCGGACGGGCGAGUAACACGUGGAUAACCUACCUAUAAGACUGGGAUAAUUUCGGGAAACCGGAGCUAAUACCGGAUAAUAUUUUGAACCGCAUGGUUCAAAAGUGAAAGACGGUCUUGCUGUCACUUAUAGAUGGAUCCGCGCUGCAUUAGCUAGUUGGUAAGGUAACGGCUUACCAAGGCAACGAUGCAUAGCCGACCUGAGAGGGUGAUCGGCCACACUGGAACUGAGACACGGUCCAGACUCCUACGGGAGGCAGCAGUAGGGAAUCUUCCGCAAUGGGCGAAAGCCUGACGGAGCAACGCCGCGUGAGUGAUGAAGGUCUUCGGAUCGUAAAGCUCUGUUAUUAGGGAAGAACAUAUGUGUAAGUAACUGUGCACAUCUUGACGGUACCUAAUCAGAAAGCCACGGCUAACUACGUG
Molecule: ribosomal RNA, 497 nt
Filed under: uncultured bacterium
Lineage: Bacteria
Description: partial 16S ribosomal RNA
Rfam family: Bacterial small subunit ribosomal RNA
Source: RNAcentral